UCCCUGAGGGUCUAGUGGUUGGGACUCAGUGCUUUUAUUGCUGCAGCCUGGGUUCAAUCCUUGGUCUGGGAA
This 72-nucleotide transfer RNA is filed under the name Sus scrofa (pig). It matches the Rfam family "tRNA". Rfam says of the family: Transfer RNA (tRNA) molecules are approximately 80 nucleotides in length. Their secondary structure includes four short double-helical elements and three loops (D, anti-codon, and T loops). Further hydrogen bonds mediate the characteristic L-shaped molecular structure. tRNAs have two regions of fundamental functional importance: the anti-codon, which is responsible for specific mRNA codon recognition, and the 3' end, to which the tRNAs corresponding amino acid is attached (by aminoacyl-tRNA synthetases). tRNAs cope with the degeneracy of the genetic code in two manners: having more than one tRNA (with a specific anti-codon) for a particular amino acid; and 'wobble' base-pairing, i.e. permitting non-standard base-pairing at the 3rd anti-codon position. The record is from Rfam by way of RNAcentral. Lineage: Eukaryota; Metazoa; Chordata; Mammalia; Artiodactyla; Suidae.